This 1262-nucleotide small RNA is filed under the name Drosophila yakuba. RNAcentral's name for it is "GE29178". Lineage: Eukaryota; Metazoa; Arthropoda; Insecta; Diptera; Drosophilidae. The record is from RNAcentral.
CACAUUGCCACGUGCAUUCUUUCACUUCUUUUUUUCACUCAAAAUGGACGGUCGAGUUUUCUGCUUUGAUUCUCAACUAAAAUUUAAUAAGAUGGAUGAUGUGCGGUAGCAGGAACAAUCUCUGAAAAUAGCAAUGGAAAAGAACAAUUUUCAAGGUUUUCUACCACAUUUAUCCACACGUGUCCAAAAAUUCCAUUUGAAAGUGUAUUAAAAUGCACAUGGCUUACGAGAAGAUAGACGGAAGCAAAAUAAGAUGAGCAGAAAAAGGUGCUCACGAAUGCCUGAGAAAUGGAAAUGUUUAGAACUAAAUUCAGAGAUCUUGGUUGGACUGCGUAACAAUAAUGGGCACAUCAGAAAAUGAGUAACAAAACUCCAAAUUGUUUUCAAUUGACCGAAAUAUGCAAUCCACUAAACCAUCUGGAUUUCUUCUCAGAACAAUGGCUACCAAUGGAAACUAGAAGUGCAGACGAAUUCGGGAUUAUAAGAAAUAUCUUGUUCUCUCGUUGUAUUGCACACGAAAAAUCGUUUUCCGGCUAUGUAGUUUGACGGCAAAGCAAGGAGAAAUGCGUAAAUAUCAUCAUAAAAUUUCAUGAAAAAAUGAUAUCUGCGCACUAAAUCAAUCAAGCUUUGAAGGAAUUUAGGUGAUUAGAAAGAUUCACAAAGAUAGGAACAUUUCCAAAUUAUACCCAGUGGAGGAUGCCUUAAAAAGUUUUAAGAUAUUCACACUUUCUGAAGUACACAAAUAGCAAUUGAUUUUUAGUACAAGAUACUCACACUUUCUGAAGUACAUAAACAUCAAUUGAUUUUUAGUACAAGGUAUGUUUUAUAUCAAUCAAUAUUGAACUCUACUUUUAUUUCUUGUGAUGACUUCGUAUACCGCCCCAGUCGGAGAAAUUAUGUCGAUUCGGAAUUACCUGAUACCUAAAUUCAUAUAUAAAUAUAUUUGUUGUUUGAUAUAUCUGUUUGCUAACACCUUUUUCUAUUAUUCUUACAGAUAUCUUAGGAUUGCCAGUGGAGCAGAAUAUUUACCCGUCAACCUUAUUAAGACUUCACCAUUUAUUGGAUCGAUCUUAUCGAGUUGCUAAAACAUCCAUUAACGUAGAAAUGCUUAAAAGGCUACCUGGCUUUAGGCUUUGUGAAUCAACUGAACUUUGUGGUAUCAUGCGGAUUGCGAAGAUCAAACACCUCACUCUGAACUCUGAAAACCAAACUGUUGUAGUCAUUUGAAGAAAUAAAAACUCAAGAGAUACUGUUUAAUAUAA